This 253-nucleotide ribosomal RNA is filed under the name uncultured bacterium. RNAcentral's name for it is "partial 16S ribosomal RNA". It matches the Rfam family "Bacterial small subunit ribosomal RNA", at positions 524 to 776 of the family's 1533-position model. The record is from RNAcentral.
UACGUAGGGUGCGAGCGUUAAUCGGAAUUACUGGGCGUAAAGCGUGCGCAGGCGGUUCGUUAAGUCAGCUGUGAAAGCCCCGGGCUUAACCUGGGAAUGGCGGUUGAAACUGGCGAACUUGAAUCUGGCAGAGGGGGGUGGAAUUCCACGUGUAGCAGUGAAAUGCGUAGAUAUGUGGAGGAACACCGAUGGCGAAGGCAGCCCCCUGGGCUAACACUGACGCUCAUGCACGAAAGCGUGGGGAGCAAACAGG